This is a long non-coding RNA of Fukomys damarensis (Damara mole-rat), 713 nucleotides long. RefSeq lists it as uncharacterized. The record is from RefSeq and is a predicted model, not a curated record. The transcript has 3 exons. Lineage: Eukaryota; Metazoa; Chordata; Mammalia; Rodentia; Bathyergidae.
AUAAAGUGUCGGUCACUUUGUCACUGAACGUCGCGUGGUACAAUAGGCCAGUGAAGGUUCUAUUCAUCCCGCCCCAAUCUGAGGUGACGGGAAAGGGCUGGGAAAUUUCCACUUCGGAUUAAAAUAAGGGCUGAAUUGACAACCUCAAAAGUUAAUAAGCGGAGCAGACCUAACCCUGCACUUGCCGAGGCUUGUUCCUCAAGCAUGCAAGUGACGCCGAGGUAACGCAGCACCACCUGUCGCUCUCCGCCGAGCGCCGAGGCUACGGCUGGAAAAUCGCUGUACCAGGAUUGGAGGAAAGAAGCCAUCAGUCUCAGCGAGGCCCCACCUUCCUGCCAUUGCCUGGUUGGAGGACCACGGCGUCAGUCACUGGGCCAGUCGCCACCUCUGAGACAGGCCCUUCCUGUAAAACCUGGCUGGGGUGAGGCUCCCAGGUGUGAUGACAGCUUGGAGUUGCCCCAUAAGUGGGGCUGAGGCGGAUGUGGAGGCAAAAACAUGGGCUUAUGAAACUCAGGUGAUACGAGAGCCCUGAUACGGAGCAGAUGCGGCUCAAAGAACCAGGCCCGGAGCAGAGCUCAGCAGUCACAAGGCAUUGGGCGCCUGCGGAAAGGUAGGAACUGGUCCCUGCCACCUGCCGGUCGGCAGCCCUACCCACAGUCAGAACGCGGCCGCCCUGGCCUGGUCCCAAAAAAUGUGAGCGGCGGGUUCUCCCG